UACUGGGCAGGAUCCAUCUGUUAGCUUGCCCCACUAGGCUCCACAACUUUGAGACUUCUAUGAUCAAAGGUUCUCUAAACAUGUUAGGGUUAGGCUUAUGGUUAGAGUUAGGUCUAGUGUUAGGGUUAGAGUUUGUCUUGUUCAAAUUUCUUUGAUACUGGGCAGGAUACAUUUUUACCUAGCCUUACUAUGUUCCCCAGGUUUCGGCCUUCUCAGUUCAAUUCUUUGCUGACAGGAACAAUUUGUACUUUACAGAUUCACUUCAUUUUGACCUACAUGGGUAAAU
Molecule: long non-coding RNA, 286 nt
Filed under: Marmota monax (woodchuck)
Lineage: Eukaryota; Metazoa; Chordata; Mammalia; Rodentia; Sciuridae
Source: RNAcentral